CCUACGGGAGGCUGCAGUGAGGAAUAUUGGUCAAUGGGCGCUAGCCUGAACCAGCCAAGUAGCGUGCAGGAUGACUGCCCUAUGGGUUGUAAACUUCUUUUAUAUGGGAAUUAAUUGCAGUAUCUAUACUGCUUUGCAUGUACCUUAUGAAUAAUGAUCGGCUAACUCCGUGCCAGCAGCCGCGGUAAUACGGAGGAUCCGAGCGUUAACCGGGUUUAUUGGGGUUAAAGGGUGUGUAGGCGGGUUGUUAAGUCAGUUGUGAAAGUUUGUGUCUCAACCGUAAAAUUGCAGUUGAUACUGGCAUCCUUGAGUACAGGAGAGGUAGGCGGAAUUCGUGGGGUAGCGGUGAAAUGCUUAGAGAUCACGAGGAAUUCCGAUUGCGAAGGCAGCCUGCUGGACUGUAACUGACGCUGAUGCUCGAAAGUGUGGGUAUCAAACAGGAUUAGAUACCCGGGUAGUC
This 460-nucleotide ribosomal RNA is filed under the name uncultured bacterium. Its description in RNAcentral is "partial 16S ribosomal RNA". It matches the Rfam family "Bacterial small subunit ribosomal RNA", at positions 338 to 795 of the family's 1533-position model. The record is from RNAcentral.